This is a long non-coding RNA of Nilaparvata lugens (brown planthopper), 446 nucleotides long. RefSeq lists it as uncharacterized. Lineage: Eukaryota; Metazoa; Arthropoda; Insecta; Hemiptera; Delphacidae. The transcript is spliced from 3 exons. The record is from RefSeq and is a predicted model, not a curated record.
GGAUAAAUAAAUAGGGGAUUAAUUAAUAGGGAGUAGCUUAGGUAGUUCAUAUUAUCGAGUUUCUGGCAGUACGAUAGCUGUUGACUGUUGUGUUUCUGCGGUGUCUGCGUCUGUUCAGGUGGAUUUCUUACAAAGGAUAGGGGGAGGGAAUGUGGAGGACGCGGUUCGGAGAGCACUAGUCCGACUGGUCACUAAUGAAGUGGCCACAAACUUCAGCUGGGAAGGCAGGAAAGGGAAGAGGGCCUUAAACAGCCUUCUGAUUAUUAAAACCCUGGAGAAAGUUGUUGCUGCGUCGCAUACAGACUUUACCAGCAAACUGUUUGAAAUACGGGUGAAGGAGUGGUUCCGGCAGUCUGGAACCAGAAUUUUUAAUCUAAAAAAAUCUGCAAAAAAUAAUACGUUUCACUGAAUUUAUUAUUUAAAUAAAUAUGUAUUUUCAAGCUGUA